CGCCUGGAACGGUGAGUGGAUGAAAGCUCCGGCGGCAUAGGAUGGGCCUGCGGCGUAUCAGGUUGUAGGGGGUGUAACGUACCCUCUAGCCCUCUACGCGUACGGGUGUUGGGAGACAUAGCCCGGAGAUGGAUUCUGAGACACGAAUCCAGACCCUACGGGGUGCAGCAGGCGCGAAAACUUGGCAAUGCGAGAAAUCGUGACCAGGGAACUCCAAGUGCAUCGGGUAAGACCGGUGCUUUUCUUGACUCUAAAUAGGUCUUGGAAUAAGGGGUGGGUAAGGACGGUGCCAGCCGCCGCGGUAAUACCGGCGCCUCAAGUGGUAGUCGCUUUUAUUGGGCCUAAAACGUCCGUAGCCGGUCUGAUACAUUCGUGGGUAAAUCAACCAGCUCAACUGGUUGAAUUCUGCGAGGACGGUCAGACUUGGGACCGGGAGAGGUGUGGGGUACGCUCAGGGUAGGGGUAAAAUCCUGUCAUCCUGAGCGGACCACCUGUUGCGAAGGCGCCACACUAGAACGGAUCCGACGGUCAGGGACGAAGCCUAGGGGCACGAACCGGAUUAGAUACCCGGGUAGUCCUAGGUGUAAACGCUGUGGACUUGAUGUUGGGGGUGCUCCGAGCACUCUCAGUGUCGAAGCGAAGGUGAUAAGUCCACUGCCUGGGAAGUACGGUCGCAAGGCUGAAACUUAAAGGAAUUGGCGGGGGAGCACCGCAACCUGAGGAUUGUGCGGUUUAAUUGGACUCAAC
Molecule: ribosomal RNA, 747 nt
Filed under: uncultured Candidatus Poseidoniales archaeon
Lineage: Archaea; Methanobacteriati; Thermoplasmatota; Candidatus Poseidoniia; Candidatus Poseidoniales
Description: bacterial SSU rRNA
Rfam family: Archaeal small subunit ribosomal RNA
Source: RNAcentral